UCACUUUAACACUGAGGCGUGACGACGAGGCACUACGGUGCUGAAGCAACAAAUGCCCUGCUUCCAGGAAAAGCCUCUAAGCAUCAGGUAACAUCAAAUCGUACCCCAAACCGACACAGGUGGUCAGGUAGAGAAUACCAAGGCGCUUGAGAGAACUCGGGUGAAGGAACUAGGCAAAAUGGUGCCGUAACUUCGGGAGAAGGCACGCUGACACGUAGGUGAAGUGAUUUACUCACGGAGCUGAAGUCAGUCGAAGAUACCAGCUGGCUGCAACUGUUUAUUAAAAACACAGCACUGUGCAAACACGAAAGUGGACGUAUACGGUGUGACGCCUGCCCGGUGCCGGAAGGUUAAUUGAUGGGGUCAGCGCAAGCGAAGCUCCUGAUCGAAGCCCCGGUAAACGGCGGCCGUAACUAUAACGGUCCUAAGGUAGCGAAAUUCCUUGUCGGGUAAGUUCCGACCUGCACGAAUGGCGUAAUGAUGGCCAGGCUGUCUCCACCCGAGACUCAGUGAAAUUGAACUCGCUGUGAAGAUGCAGUGUACCCGCGGCAAGACGGAAAGACCCCGUGAACCUUUACUAUAGCUUGACACUGAACAUUGAGCCUUGAUGUGUAGGAUAGGUGGGAGGCUUUGAAGUGUGGACGCCAGUCUGCAUGGAGCCGACCUUGAAAUACCACCCUUUAAUGUUUGAUGUUCUAACGUGGACCCGUGAUCCGGGUUGCGGACAGUGUCUGGUGGGUAGUUUGACUGGGGCGGUCUCCUCCUAAAGAGUAACGGAGGAGCACGAAGGUUGGCUAAUCCUGGUCGGACAUCAGGAGGUUAGUGCAAUGGCAUAAGCCAGCUUGACUGCGAGCGUGACGGCGCGAGCAGGUGCGAAAGCAGGUCAUAGUGAUCCGGUGGUUCUGAAUGGAAGGGCCAUCGCUCAACGGAUAAAAGGUACUCCGGGGAUAACAGGCUGAUACCGCCCAAGAGUUCAUAUCGACGGCGGUGUUUGGCACCUCGAUGUCGGCUCAUCACAUCCUGGGGCUGAAGUAGGUCCCAAGGGUAUGGCUGUUCGCCAUUUAAAGUGGUACGCGAGCUGGGUUUAGAACGUCGUGAGACAGUUCGGUCCCUAUCUGCCGUGGGCGCUGGAGAACUGAGGGGGGCUGCUCCUAGUACGAGAGGACCGGAGUGGACGCAUCACUGGUGUUCGGGUUGUCAUGCCAAUGGCACUGCCCGGUAGCUAAAUGCGGAAGAGAUAAGUGCUGAAAGCAUCUAAGCACGAAACUUGCCCCGAGAUGAGUUCUCCCUGAGACUUUAGGUCUCCUGAAGGAACGUUGAAGACGACGACGUUGAUAGGCCGGGUGUGUAAGCGCAGCGAUGCGUUGAGCUAACCGGUACUAAUGAACCGUGAGGCUUAACCUUACAACGCCGAAG
RNAcentral lists this ribosomal RNA (1416 nucleotides) under Salmonella enterica. RNAcentral's name for it is "partial 23S ribosomal RNA". It matches the Rfam family "Bacterial large subunit ribosomal RNA", at positions 1545 to 2925 of the family's 2925-position model. The record is from RNAcentral. Lineage: Bacteria; Pseudomonadati; Pseudomonadota; Gammaproteobacteria; Enterobacterales; Enterobacteriaceae.